GACGAACGCUGGCGGCGUGCUUAACACAUGCAAGUCGAACGGAAAGGCCCUGCUUUUGUGGGGUGCUCGAGUGGCGAACGGGUGAGUAACACGUGAGUAACCUGCCCUUGACUUUGGGAUAACUUCAGGAAACUGGGGCUAAUACCGGAUAGGAGCUCCUGCUGCAUGGUGGGGGUUGGAAAGUUUCGGCGGUUGGGGAUGGACGCGCGGCUUAUCAGCUUGUUGGUGGGGUAGUGGCUUACCAAGGCUUUGACGGGUAGCCGGCCUGGGAGGGUGACCGGCCACAUUGGGCCUGAGAUACGGCCCAGACUCCUACGGGAGGCAGCAGUGGGGAAUAUUGCACAAUGGGCGGAAGCCUGAUGCAGCAACGCCGCGUGCGGGAUGACGGCCUUCGGGUUGUAAACCGCUUUCGCCUGUGACGAAGCGUGAGUGACGGUAAUGGGUAAAGAAGCACCGGCUAACUACGUG
RNAcentral lists this ribosomal RNA (468 nucleotides) under uncultured bacterium. RNAcentral describes it as "partial 16S ribosomal RNA". It matches the Rfam family "Bacterial small subunit ribosomal RNA", at positions 28 to 507 of the family's 1533-position model. The record is from RNAcentral.